AACACAAUAAGCACUCCGCCUGGGGAGUACGGUCGCAAGACUGAAACUCAAAGGAAUUGACGGGGACCCGCACAAGCAGCGGAGCAUGUGGUUUAAUUCGAAGCAACGCGAAGAACCUUACCAAGGCUUGACAUCCCCUUGACCGGCACAGAGAUGUGCCCUCUCCUUCGGGAGCAAGGGUGACAGGUGGUGCAUGGUUGUCGUCAGCUCGUGUCGUGAGAUGUUGGGUUAAGUCCCGCAACGAGCGCAACCCUUAUCCUUAGUUGCCAGCAGGUAAAGCUGGGCACUCUAAGGAGACUGCCGAUGAUAAAUCGGAGGAAGGUGGGGAUGACGUCAAAUCAUCAUGCCCCUUAUGUCUUGGGCUACACACGUGCUACAAUGGUCGGUACAAAGGGCAGCGAAGGAGUGAUCUGGAGCAAAUCCCAAUAAACCGAUCCCA
This 439-nucleotide ribosomal RNA is filed under the name uncultured bacterium. RNAcentral's name for it is "bacterial SSU rRNA". It matches the Rfam family "Bacterial small subunit ribosomal RNA", at positions 854 to 1290 of the family's 1533-position model. The record is from RNAcentral.